RNAcentral lists this transfer RNA (70 nucleotides) under Phycisphaerales bacterium. RNAcentral describes it as "tRNA-Gly". It matches the Rfam family "tRNA". From Rfam's summary of the family: Transfer RNA (tRNA) molecules are approximately 80 nucleotides in length. Lineage: Bacteria; Pseudomonadati; Planctomycetota; Phycisphaerae; Phycisphaerales. The record is from RNAcentral.
GCGUGCGUAGCCCAAGCAGGGCGCCGGCCCUACCAGGCCGGAGGUGGAGGUGCGAGUCCUCCCGCACGCU